CAUAGGGUCUUGGCACAGUGGUAGCACACAUGCCUCGCACCUUCGCAUGGGGUCAUGAGUUCAAUCCUCAGUCUCCGUUUGU
This is a non-coding RNA of Sphagnurus paluster, 82 nucleotides long. The record is from the annotation of a GenBank genome assembly. NCBI's taxonomy places the organism in Eukaryota, Fungi, Basidiomycota, Agaricomycetes, Agaricales, Lyophyllaceae.